RNAcentral lists this unclassified non-coding RNA (444 nucleotides) under Yarrowia lipolytica. The record is from RNAcentral. Lineage: Eukaryota; Fungi; Ascomycota; Dipodascomycetes; Dipodascales.
AUAUGAUAUUGCCACUCUUACGCUCUUAUCAUCAGGCACUUCUAAAACUCGUAUCUAACUAACACCUCCGAUCUCGCUCCCGGUCUCAACAGAAUCGAACCCAGCAACAGUGUCUCACCAACAGUGUCUCACCAACACGGUACGAGACAUGUCUUCGGUGCUGGAGCGGUUUUCAGUUGCGCAAAAGUGAGACAGAGCGGCUGUCGUUUGGCGUUUAGGCCGUAAGAUUGUUGAUACUCUGGAAAUCUCUCGGUGAAGGCCAUGGAAGUAUGGCAGUAUGAGUAAUACGAGGAAAGAGUACGAAACGAGCUACAAUUACCGGUAGAGAUACCAUACAAUCCAAUAACGGAAGCCCCAGGGAUCAUUCUGACGUUUGAAAAGCGUCGCCUAUCUUCUAUUUGGGUGGCAAACUCCAGAAGUAGGAAUAUGUGAAACUGGGAGGUG